UACGGAAGGCAGCAGUGGGGAAUAUUGCACAAUGGGCGCAAGCCUGAUGCAGCCAUGCCGCGUGUAUGAAAAAGGCCUUCGGGUUGUAAAGUACUUUCAGUCGUGAGGAAGGUGUUAAGGUUAAUAACCUUAGCAAUUGACGUUAGCGACAGAAGAAGCACCGGCUAACUCCGUGCCAGCAGCCGCGGUAAUACGGAGGGUGCGAGCGUUAAUCGGAAUUACUGGGCGUAAAGGGCACGCAGGCGGUUAAUUAAGUUGGAUGUGAAAUCCCCGGGCUUAACCUGGGAAUGGCAUUCAAGACUGGUUAGCUAGAGUCUUGUAGAGGGGGUAGAAUUCCAUGUGUAGCGGUGAAAUGCGUAGAGAUGUGGAGGAAUACCGGUGGCGAAGGCGGCCCCUGGACAAAGACUGACGCUCAUGUGCGAAAGCGUGGGGAGCAAACAGGGAUUUAGAUACC
Molecule: ribosomal RNA, 454 nt
Filed under: uncultured bacterium
Lineage: Bacteria
Description: bacterial SSU rRNA
Rfam family: Bacterial small subunit ribosomal RNA
Source: RNAcentral